This 253-nucleotide ribosomal RNA is filed under the name uncultured bacterium. Its description in RNAcentral is "partial 16S ribosomal RNA". It matches the Rfam family "Bacterial small subunit ribosomal RNA", at positions 524 to 776 of the family's 1533-position model. The record is from RNAcentral.
UACGGAGGGUGCAAGCGUUAUCCGGAUUUAUUGGGUUUAAAGGGUCCGUAGGCGGACCAAUAAGUCAGUGGUGAAAGCCCAUCGCUUAACGAUGGAACUGCCAUUGAUACUGUUGGUCUUGAGUGAGGUUGCAGUGGCUGGAAUGUGUAGUGUAGCGGUGAAAUGCUUAGAUAUUACGCAGAACACCAAUUGCGAAGGCAGGUCACUAAGCCUCAACUGACGCUGAUGGACGAAAGCGUGGGGAGCGAACAGG